RNAcentral lists this non-coding RNA (865 nucleotides) under Emoia physicae. RNAcentral describes it as "partial 12S ribosomal RNA". It matches the Rfam family "Bacterial small subunit ribosomal RNA". The record is from RNAcentral. Lineage: Eukaryota; Metazoa; Chordata; Lepidosauria; Squamata; Scincidae.
CCCUAAAAACAUAAAGUUUUGGUCCUAAACUUGCCAUUCUUUUUUAUGAAAAUUACACAUGCAAGCUUCAACAAACCAGUGAGAAUGCCCACAAACCCCUAAACAGACUACAGGAGCAGGUAUCAGGAACACCAAUGCUUAGCCUAAAACACCUUGCUAUGCCACACCCACAAGGGCCUUCAGCAGUGAAAAGUAUUAAGAAAUAAGCGAAAGCUUGACUUAGUUAUUAUUAAAAAUGGUCGGUAAAUUUCGUGCCAGCCACCGCGGUUAUACGAAAGACCAAAAACAAUGGCCAACGGCGUAAAGAGUGAUACGAGUUUAACCAAAUCUUUAAAGGAAAACUACAACAAAGUUGUAAAAUACUCCCGAUUGUAAGAACCCCAACAAUAAAACGCCUUUAAACCCCUCCCCUCACGAAAGCUAAGGAACAAACUGGGAUUAGAUACCCCACUAUGCCUAGCCGUAAACAAAAAUAGUACAAACACAACACUAUUCGCCAGAGAACUACAAGCAUAAAACUCGAAACUCCAAGGACUUGGCGGUGCUCCACAUCGUCCUAGAGGAGCCUGUCCUAUAAUCGAUACCCCCCGAUAAACCUCACCACUUUUUGAAACUCAGCCUAUAUACCGCCGUCAAUUACGCCUACAUUAUGAAAGAAAUAGAGUAGGCAAAAGAGUCACUGACUAAAACAUCAGGUCAAGGUGUAGCAUAUGAAGUGGAAGAGAUGGGCUACACUCUCUAGCACAGAGAAAACGAACAGCACAAUGAAACAUUUGCUUAAAGGUGGAUUUAGAAGUAAGACAAGUAAGAGAGCUUGUCUUAAAUUAGCCCUGGAGCGCGCACACACCGCCCGUCACCCUCAUCG